AUGAGAGUUUGAUCCUGGCUCAGGAUGAACGCUGACAGAAUGCUUAACACAUGCAAGUCUACUUGAUCCUUCGGGUGAUGGUGGCGGACGGGUGAGUAACGCGUAAAGAACUUGCCUUGCAGUCUGGGACAACGUCUGGAAACGGACGCUAAUACCGGAUAUUAUGAUUGAAUCGCAUGAUUUAAUUAUGAAAGCUAUAUGCGCUGCGAGAGAGCUUUGCGUCCCAUUAGUUAGUUGGUGAGGUAACGGCUCACCAAGACGAUGAUGGGUAGCCGGCCUGAGAGGGUGAACGGCCACAAGGGGACUGAGACACGGCCCUUACUCCUACGGGAGGCAGCAGUGGGGAAUAUUGGACAAUGGACCAAAAGUCUGAUCCAGCAAUUCUGUGUGCACGAUGAAGUUUUUCGGAAUGUAAAGUGCUUUCAGUUGGGAAGAAGAAAGUGACGGUACCAACAGAAGAAGCGACGGCUAAAUACGUGCCAGCAGCCGCGGUAAUACGUAUGUCGCAAGCGUUAUCCGGAUUUAUUGGGCGUAAAGCGCGUCUAGGCGGUUUGGUAAGUCUGAUGUGAAAAUGCGGGGCUCAACUCCGUAUUGCGUUGGAAACUGUCAAACUAGAGUACUGGAGAGGUAGGCGGAACUACAAGUGUAGAGGUGAAAUUCGUAGAUAUUUGUAGGAAUGCCGAUGGGGAAGCCAGCCUACUGGACAGAUACUGACGCUAAAGCGCGAAAGCGUGGGUAGCAAACAGGAUUAGAUACCCUGGUAGUCCACGCCGUAAACGAUGAUUACUAGGUGUGGGGGGACUGACCCCUUCCGUGCCGGAGUUAACACAAUAAGUAAUCCACCUGGGGAGUACGGCCGCAAGGCUGAAACUCAAAGGAAUUGACGGGGGCCCGCACAAGCAGUGGAGUAUGUGGUUUAAUUCGAAGCAACGCGAAGAACCUUACCAGGUCUUGACAUCGAGUGACGAACAUAGAGAUAUGUUCUUCCUUCGGGACACGAAGACAGGUGGUGCAUGGUUGUCGUCAGCUCGUGUCGUGAGAUGUUGGGUUAAGUCCCGCAACGAGCGCAACCCUUAUCAUUAGUUGCUACGCAAGAGCACUCUAAUGAGACUGCCGUUGAUAAAACGGAGGAAGGUGGGGAUGACGUCAAAUCAUCAUGCCCCUUAUGACCUGGGCUACACACGUACUACAAUGGUGAUCAAACAGAGGGAAGCAACACAGCGAUGUGAAGCAGAACCCGAAAAAUCAUCUCAGUUCAGAUUGCAGGCUGCAACUCGCCUGCAUGAAGUCGGAAUUGCUAGUAAUCGCGGAUCAGCAUGCCGCGGUGAAUACGUUCCCGGGCCUUGUACACACCGCCCGUCACACCAUGGGAGUCGGUAACACCCGAAGCCAGUAGCCUAACCGCAAGGAGGGCGCUGUCGAAGGUGGGAUUGAUGACUGGGGUGAAGUCGUAACAAGGUAGCCGUAAAU
This 1470-nucleotide ribosomal RNA is filed under the name uncultured bacterium. Its description in RNAcentral is "partial 16S ribosomal RNA". It matches the Rfam family "Bacterial small subunit ribosomal RNA". The record is from RNAcentral.